RNAcentral lists this ribosomal RNA (291 nucleotides) under uncultured bacterium. RNAcentral's name for it is "partial 16S ribosomal RNA". It matches the Rfam family "Bacterial small subunit ribosomal RNA", at positions 338 to 621 of the family's 1533-position model. The record is from RNAcentral.
CCUACGGGAGGCAGCAGUAGGGAAUCUUCCACAAUGGACGAAAGUCUGAUGGAGCAACGCCGCGUGAGUGAAGAAGGGUUUCGGCUCGUAAAGCUCUGUUGGUAGUGAAGAAAGAUAGAGGUAGUAACUGGCCUUUAUUUGACGGUAAUUACUUAGAAAGUCACGGCUAACUACGUGCCAGCAGCCGCGGUAAUACGUAGGUGGCAAGCGUUGUCCGGAUUUAUUGGGCGUAAAGCGAGUGCAGGCGGUUUAAUAAGGCUGUUGUGAAAGCCUUUGGCCCAACCGGAGGAU